CAGUAGCCGCGGUAAUACGUAGGUGGCAAGCGUUGUCCGGAAUUAUUGGGCGUAAAGGGCUCGCAGGCGGUUUCUUAAGUCUGAUGUGAAAGCCCCCGGCUCAACCGGGGAGGGUCAUUGGAAACUGGGAAACUUGAGUGCAGAAGAGGAGAGUGGAAUUCCACGUGUAGCGUUGAAAUGCGUAGAGAUGUGGAGGAACACCAGUGGCGAAGGCGACUCUCUGGUCUGUAACUGACGCUGAGGAGCGAAAGCGUGGGGAGCGAACAGGAUUAGAUACCCCAGUAGUCCCUGUCUCUUAUAC
Molecule: ribosomal RNA, 301 nt
Filed under: uncultured bacterium
Lineage: Bacteria
Description: partial 16S ribosomal RNA
Rfam family: Bacterial small subunit ribosomal RNA
Source: RNAcentral